Molecule: long non-coding RNA, 1368 nt
Organism: Cryptomeria japonica (Japanese cedar)
Lineage: Eukaryota; Viridiplantae; Streptophyta; Pinopsida; Cupressales; Cupressaceae
Exons: 9
Source: RefSeq, a predicted model, not a curated record
AAUUCUUGCACUUUUCAUGUAUUUAAUGUAUUAUUCUUUAGGUGUUGUCAAUGUUACUGUGCAAAUGUCGUCACCACCUCAUCAGAGGUUACCCUCACCUGUAUUGCUGACUGCAAUGUCGGCAACAUGUAGCAUGUAGACAUCCUCUAGUGCACGUCAUAUUGGCCCGCCCACUAUUGGAGGAGAUGCACAUGAGGAUAUGCCAGAGGCAACUAUUGCUGAUAACAUAGCAUCAUUUCCUAGAUCUUCUCGUAUUGCUAGUACGGGAACGUUGCAGGCCACAUUGGUGGUGAGCGACGAAGAAAUGAUUCCCUUAAAGAUACAAAAGGUUCCAGGCAAUGAUAUUUUCUAUAAACAUCUUAGUGACAUUGCAUUGCACAUAUUUGGGCCCACCAUCCGUAAAAGGUGGAAUGACCAAGGAAAAAGGUUAAAAGAUGAAUUGACAAACCAAAUGGUUGAGUGGUUUGGAAAUGACACCUUUGACAAAACCAAGCUCCUUGAAAAAGCUGGCACAUAUCUAAAGUAUGUGAGGGACCAAUACAGGACCCAUUUGGAGAGGAACCUAAAGUACGAGUAUCCCGCCAUGAUUCCAGAGAGGGAGUGGAAGGACCUGAUUUUGGAUGCGAAGGAGAAAAUUGAAAGGAAAAAAGGAAAUACACCACUAGACGCCAGAAGAAGGUACGGGAUACUAUUAAGAAUGUAAUUAUGUACUAAUUAAUUACUCUUUAUAUUUAUAUAGUCUAACAUAUUUCAAACUUUUUAUAAACUGAGUGACAUGUCAAAGGCAACCAAGGCAAGAAAAGCAUGGGAAACACAAACUCGGCUCUGGUGGUUACAUGAAACUUGUUGCACAAAUUGGCUCUGAAUUCAAUAGAGCGCCCAUAGAAGAUGACAAGAGAAUUGCCUACCAACAAGGCUAUUCAGCUGUGGCUGAUCGGCUACGAGAAUUGAGUGGGCAUACACAACAUUUGAGUGCAUCCGUCACACAGCCUGCUAAUUGUGAAACACCACCUACACAUGAAGGUCCGGAUGGGCAUCCCAGUAGUGGAGCAUGUAGUCGGUGUUGAGCAAGUGGAGCAUGAUCUAGGUACACAACAUCAAGAACGUGAUGUUCCCCACUCAGAUGAUCUAGAGGGUGUUCAGCAUGUUGAGGUUGAGGCUACACAAAAUGAUGUGGCCCCAUUAGAGGACCCCCUUCGCUUUAGUGUCCUCGUCCUCAGUAUAGGACUAGGCAUACAUAGAGAUCAUGAGUAGUUGGCGGAACAUCUGCAGAGGGGGGAAAUGAUGAAGAAACUGAUGUUCCACUUAGUCUUUUCAUAGCUUCAAAGAAAAAACAAAGAAAGAAAUGAUUGUAAUCUAACUUAUUUG